This is a long non-coding RNA of Brassica oleracea var. oleracea, 585 nucleotides long. RefSeq lists it as uncharacterized. NCBI's taxonomy places the organism in Eukaryota, Viridiplantae, Streptophyta, Magnoliopsida, Brassicales, Brassicaceae. The transcript has 2 exons. The record is from RefSeq and is a predicted model, not a curated record.
GGCAGCCAGAGGAUGGUGACAAAUUUUUGGCAUGGAAGUUCCAUAGGUGGUCAAGAACAAUCCCAAUACGUGUACAUACAGUCGAUGUAAGAAAGGUCUCUCUCUAUUUGUCAGGAGAAACAAUGUUUUUUGUUCAACUCUUGGUAUUGCGCUUAUUGUCGGCAGGUACGUUAUAAGAUAGAGAAAAACGACAUGAGGUGGUAGUGGAACAGGUUUUUAAGCCUUCAUUUUUUUUUCAAUCUGCCACCGGUUUCUUGGUACAUUCGCUGGGUUACUGUCAAGACCAGUAAGGCUGUGGUCAAGGAUUUUCAAAUUCGGGCGGGCUAUUGAAGACGGGUCUCGGUAACAUAUGCACGACCACAUGAUCUCUAUUAUAAGCGUAGCCGCGGUUCCAACUUAUAAAUUGAAAUUCAAAAAUGAAACGUGAUGCAGAAAGAAGUAGAGUAAAUCUUCGAUUACAAACUAUAUAAAAAGGCAGUUUCUAUGUUCUACGUGCAAGGAGUCUCUUGCACAAUCAGAACAACGAUCACAAAAUCAAAUCCAAAUACCCGAAACCAAAAAAGAAAAAAAAAAAGAACAGAACAA